CAUACUUCAUUUUUUUCUUUGUGUCAAACAUAGCCCUGAUCUGGACUUGGUUCAGAUUAUAUUGCCAUGGAGUCUCAUGGCCAUCAUUGACAGUAAUGUCGGCGGCUAUGUCCUGAUCCCAUGCAAUAGGAAUCGGUACCUCCACUUCAUCCUCGGAAUUUUCAGAAUCCAGAUCCUCUGCAAACCCAUCCUCGUUCUCUUCCUCCC
This 207-nucleotide long non-coding RNA is filed under the name Hordeum vulgare. RNAcentral describes it as "long non-coding RNA (HVUL_LNC018371)". The record is from RNAcentral. Lineage: Eukaryota; Viridiplantae; Streptophyta; Magnoliopsida; Poales; Poaceae.